GUGGAGGCAACGUUGGGAUACCACCCUGAUCGUAUCUAGGUUCUAACCUGGUACCGUAAUCCGGUGCGGGGACAGUGUCAGGUGGGCAGUUUGACUGGGGCGGUCGCCUCCUAAAGAGUAACGGAGGCGCCCAAAGGUUCCCUCAGAAUGGUUGGAAAUCAUUCGAAGAGUGCAAAGGCAUAAGGGAGCUUGACUGCGAGACCUACAAGUCGAGCAGGGACGAAAGUCGGGCUUAGUGAUCCGGUGGUACCGCAUGGAAGGGCCAUCGCUCAACGGAUAAAAGCUACCCUGGGGAUAACAGGCUUAUCUCCCCCAAGAGUCCACAUCGACGGGGAGGUUUGGCACCUCGAUGUCGGCUCAUCGCAUCCUGGGGCUGAAGUAGGUCCCAAGGGUUGGGCUGUUCGCCCAUUAAAGCGGUACGCGAGCUGGGUUCAGAACGUCGUGAGACAGUUCGGUCCCUAUCUGUCGUGGGCGUAGGAAAUUUGAGAGGAGCUGUCCUUAGUACGAGAGGACCGGGAUGGACGUACCGCUGGUGUACCAGUUGUUCCGCCAGGAGCACCGCUGGGUAGCUAUGUACGGACGGGAUAAACGCUGAAAGCAUCUAAGCGUGAAGCCCCCCUCAAGAUGAGAUUUCCCAGUAUGUAAGACCCCUUGAAGACGACGAGGUAGAUAGGCUGGGGGUGGAAGUGCAGCAAUGCAUGGAGCUGACCAGUACUAAUCGGUCGAGGGCUUAUCCAAU
Molecule: ribosomal RNA, 739 nt
Filed under: Paenibacillus sp. UASWS1643
Lineage: Bacteria; Bacillati; Bacillota; Bacilli; Caryophanales; Paenibacillaceae
Description: partial 23S ribosomal RNA
Rfam family: Bacterial large subunit ribosomal RNA
Source: RNAcentral